Molecule: ribosomal RNA, 228 nt
Filed under: Rhizobium aethiopicum
Lineage: Bacteria; Pseudomonadati; Pseudomonadota; Alphaproteobacteria; Hyphomicrobiales; Rhizobiaceae
Description: 23S rRNA. Bacterial LSU
Rfam family: Bacterial large subunit ribosomal RNA
Source: RNAcentral
GAGGACCGGGAUGGACAUAUCUCUGGUGGACCUGUUGUCCUGCCAAGGGCAUAGCAGGGUAGCUAUAUAUGGACGGGAUAACCGCUGAAGGCAUCUAAGCGGGAAACCCACCUGAAAACGAGUGUUCCCUAUCAGAGCCGUGGAAGACGACCACGUUGAUAGGCCGGGUGUGGAAGUGCGGCAACGCAUGAAGCUUACCGGUACUAAUAGCUCGAUCGGCUUGAUCGU